RNAcentral lists this ribosomal RNA (1551 nucleotides) under human oral metagenome. RNAcentral describes it as "bacterial LSU rRNA". It matches the Rfam family "Bacterial large subunit ribosomal RNA", at positions 829 to 2303 of the family's 2925-position model. The record is from RNAcentral.
CCAAUCGAACUCGGAGAUAGCUGGUUCUCCUCGAAAUAGCUUUAGGGCUAGCGUCGUGUUAGUAGCACAUGGGGGUAGAGCUCUGUAAAGGACUGGGGCGGGCAACUGUACCCACCCUUAACAAACUACGAAUACCAUGUGUGUAACCACGGCAGUUAGAACAUCGGUGCUAAGAUCGGUGCUCGAAAGGGAAACAGCCCAGACCAUCAUCUAAGGUCCCUAAAUUAACGUUCAGUGGGAAACAAGGUGAGAUUUCUUAAACAGCUAGGAUGUUGGCUUAGAAGCAGCCAUUCAUUUAAAGAGUGCGUAACAGCUCACUAGUCAAGAGAUCUUGCGUGGAAAAUGUAACGGGGCUAAAACGUUAUACCGAAGAUAUGGAUGUCAGAUUUAUCUGGCGUGGUAGAGGAGCGUUCCUAUCAGCAGUGAAGUCGAAUCGGAAGGUUCGGUGGAGCGGUAGGAAGUGAGAAUGCUGGAAUGAGUAACCAUAAGAGAGGUGAGAAUCCUCUCGGCCGUAAGAGCAAGGUUUCCUGAGCCAUGGUAAUCAUCUCAGGGUUAGUCGGGCCUAAGCCGAGGCGCAGAGCGUAGGCGAUGGACAUCAGGUUAAUAUUCCUGAACCGGUUAAGUUUUGUACACUGUUCACGGGGAAGUAAUCGAAGCGGAUUCAUGGUUUAUCCGUCCAACCGAGCGGGAACGCAAAGGGAGUGAAAGUGAUUCUUCGGAGUCGCGAUUUUGGUGAAAGCCCUGGCUAGAAAAGCAGGUGUACGCGUGGACUUAGCCGCCCGUACCGCAAACCAACACAGGUGCUCGAGUCGAGUAGACUCAGGCUUACGAGCGAACCUUCGCUAAGGAACUCGGCAAUACAGCGACCGUAACUUCGGGAUAAGGUCUGCCCCCACUUCGGUGGAUAUCAGCCGCGUUCACUCAGUGAAUAAUAGGUUAAAGAGUACAUUUUUAAUCACAAAACGAAUUUUCUGAGAUAGAGCAAUGAAUUGUUCUUUUGAACGCGAAUCUCUGACAUCUAACGAUGUGGGGGCCGCAGCAAAAGAGCCCACGGAACUGUUUAUCAAAAACACAGGUCUCUGCUAACACGAAAGUGGAUGUAUAGGGGCUGACUCCUGCCCAAUGCUGGAAGGUUAAGGGGAGCGCUUCACGGUGCGAACUGAAGCCCUAGUCAAUGGCGGCGGUAACUAUAACCGUCCUAAGGUAGCGAAAUUCCUUGUCAGGUAAGUUCUGACCCGCACGAAUGGAGUAAUCAUGUGGGCACUGUCUCAGCGAAGGACUCGGUGAAAGUGCAUUGGCGGUAAAGAUGCCGUCUGUCCGUACCAGGACGAAAAGACCCCAUGGAGCUUUACUACAGCUUUACAUUGAAUACGGUUUCAACAUGUGUAGCAUAGGUGGGAGACGUUGAAGCAGAUACGCCAGUAUUUGUGGAGUCACCAAGUGAAAUACCACCCUUGUUGUGAUUGUGUUCUCACGCUGACCGUUAUCCGGUUAGCGGACCGUGUAUGGUGGGUAGUUUAACUGGGGCGGUUGCCUCCUAAAGAGUAGCGG